This 299-nucleotide long non-coding RNA is filed under the name Elaeis guineensis (African oil palm). RNAcentral describes it as "long non-coding RNA (EGUI_LNC058887)". Lineage: Eukaryota; Viridiplantae; Streptophyta; Magnoliopsida; Arecales; Arecaceae. The record is from RNAcentral.
AUUCUCUAGUGAGAGUUGUGUAAGUGAUCCUUUGACCUGAGAUCGUUAUGGUACCUUGUGUAUAUAGAUCCAUAUUUUGGUUCACUUCCUAACUUGGUUCUUUGAUCCUUGUGUGGGGUGUUCUGGAUAUGGUGAAAUAUGUAAGAAGGUUGUGAGUGAACAAUAAGAGAUCAGUCACUCCUAAUAAGGAGAGUAAACAUCCUAUGUAAUCUCACAGAUCGAUGAUUCAGAAGUCUUUGACCAAAGCAGGAUAAUAAUUAGAAAAGAAUUUUUAAUGUAUCAUCAACUGAAUCAUCACC